Long non-coding RNA from Panicum virgatum (switchgrass), 1436 nucleotides. RefSeq lists it as uncharacterized. NCBI's taxonomy places the organism in Eukaryota, Viridiplantae, Streptophyta, Magnoliopsida, Poales, Poaceae. The record is from RefSeq and is a predicted model, not a curated record. The transcript is spliced from 4 exons.
GAUCAUCCAUGGAUGGCUUGGAUCGCGGAAGACCAAGGGCCACGGCUCCGGCUUCACGAGACAUCGGACCUCCCCGCUGCUCCCCUCCGCAGGCUGUAGCCAACGCCGAUACCCAUUCUCCUCCCGUGCUCCUCGCGUGGCUCUCCUCCGGCGACCUGGAAUCGGUUCGAGCGGCUACGCUGGGUGUUCAAGGCUUGGUGUGAAGGGCAGAGAGGGGAGCUUGUGGAGAGGGCUUGCUGACGAUGUGCAGCCUGACCUUCGAUGCUGCUCCUCUGCUCCUCCCCACCCCUCCACUCACCGCUGUCACGGACGUACUCCUCACCUCCGCUGCCUCACCUGUCCUGUCCCGUCCCGUCCCGUCUGUGCAAGAGCAAAAGUCGAUGGCACGGCUUGAAGAGGAGGAGCACCAGCAAAAGCAGAGGUGGGCACAGCCGAAGCUCAUCGUAGCGGCAGCGACGACGCGGCAUGCGUAGCGAGAGGUUCCUCCAGGCGUCAGUAGCGGAUGCGGCGGCGGCAACUUGGAGUGGCUCUAGGCCAUCUCAUGAGCUCCAUGUCUGAUGCUAGCUGCUCCGUGUAUUCUACAUACCCAAUCGAUUUUUGUUUUUUUUCCUUUUAUGUGUUAAUGUUCAUGCAUAUCAGCUGUUCGAUGAAAUAGCUAAAGGUAUCCAACUCGCAUUUUUUACCUCACUUUGAUUGGAUUCCAUUUUUCCAUCAAUCUUUGACUUUGCUUUCUUGCAAAUUAUAUAUACUGCUACAACAGAUGCUCUGUAAUUUACACAAUGUUCAAAUAUUUCUGACUCCAAAACAACGAAAUAAUUGCACUUUAAAACUUUCUAAUGUUGGAGUUCAUUUGACAAGAUGAAUUGUUAAUUGUGUGUCAAAAUAAUUUGAGCCUCACCAAUUAUUACUGCAGAUAGCCAUUAUAAGGAAAAAAUCUACUGCUGCUACAAUGAUGUAUGAACAUGAGAAAGCAAGGCAGAUGUUAUUCUAAAGACACCCGUGCUAGGAAAUGGCUGAGCAAACGAGGUCUUGCGGUUUUGUUGUUCUGAAUAGCGGCAAGCUGUGUAAUAUGCUGGUUCACUCAACCAAUAUAUUUAAUAUUACUUGGGAAAUCUACUGCUGCUUCUAAAAAAUGGAUGUAAACAAUAAUCAAUGAAUGGAGAGGUCGUAAGAACAGACUAGCUACAGAAGAUGGAUAUUAUAUCCUGGUGUCUGAAUUACAACAGAAGCUUGCGCAAGUGCCCCAAAGCCUGUAGUUUCACUGCCUCUCUUCAUCGACCAAAAAGAAUCGGAGAUGCAUUGGCAGAGCACUGUCAAACAUGCCCAUCCAACAGCACGGAUAGAUGAUGCACAAUGGGCAGUUUGCUUCUCUUCUAUAUAAGUUUAUAUUUUGUACCAUUCUUCAAAAAGAAAAAAAAAACAAUCAUUUGAUAUCA